UGGGGAAUUUUGGACAAUGGGCGCAAGCCUGAUCCAGCCAUGCCGCGUGAGUGAAGAAGGCCUUCGGGUUGUAAACUGCUUUUGUACGGAACGAAAAGACUCUGGUUAAUACCUGGGGUCCAUGACGGUACCGUAAGAAUAAGCACCGGCUAACUACGUGCCAGCAGCCGCGGUAAUACGUAGGGUGCGAGCGUUAAUCGGAAUUACUGGGCGUAAAGCGUGCGCAGGCGGUUAUGUAAGACAGGCGUGAAAUCCCCGGGCUCAACCUGGGAAUGGCGCUUGUGACUGCAAAGCUGGAGUGCGGCAGAGGGGGAUGGAAUUCCGCGUGUAGCAGUGAAAUGCGUAGAUAUGCGGAGGAACACCGAUGGCGAAGGCAAUCCCCUGGGCCUGCACUGACGCUCAUGCACGAAAGCGUGGGGAGCAGACAGGAUUAGAUACCCUAGUAGUCCCUGAGCGGGCUGGCAAGGCGCAU
This 472-nucleotide ribosomal RNA is filed under the name uncultured bacterium. RNAcentral's name for it is "bacterial SSU rRNA". It matches the Rfam family "Bacterial small subunit ribosomal RNA", at positions 355 to 825 of the family's 1533-position model. The record is from RNAcentral.